UACGAAGGGGGCUAGCGUUGCUCGGAAUCACUGGGCGUAAAGCGCACGUAGGCGGCUUUCUAAGUCAGGGGUGAAAUCCUGGAGCUCAACUCCAGAACUGCCUUUGAUACUGGGAAGCUUGAGUCCGGAAGAGGUGAGUGGAACUCCGAGUGUAGAGGUGAAAUUCGUAGAUAUUGGGAAGAACACCGGUGGCGAAAGCGGGAUCCUGGGCCAGUACUGACGCUGAGGAGCGAAAGCGUGGGGAGCAAACAGG
This 253-nucleotide ribosomal RNA is filed under the name uncultured bacterium. RNAcentral's name for it is "partial 16S ribosomal RNA". It matches the Rfam family "Bacterial small subunit ribosomal RNA", at positions 524 to 776 of the family's 1533-position model. The record is from RNAcentral.